CAACCCUCAAGCUCUGCUUGGUAUUGGGCUACACCCGACUGGGUGGGCCUUAAAAUCAGUGGCGGUGCCAUCUGGCUCUAAGCGUAGUAAUUCUUCUCGCUCUGGAGAUCUAGGUGUUUGCUUGCCAGCAACCCCCAAUUUAUCAAA
This 147-nucleotide unclassified non-coding RNA is filed under the name Humicolopsis sp. RNAcentral's name for it is "partial internal transcribed spacer 2". RNAcentral also lists the same sequence under 2 other names. The record is from RNAcentral. Lineage: Eukaryota; Fungi; Ascomycota; Leotiomycetes; Helotiales.